AUUCCGCUUUCUGUUGCAGACUUCAGAGUCACCGUGAUCACAUGGCCUCCCUCCAUCCUGCGUUACUUGGACUACGCGGCAUCAUGGUAGUCGCUGUUUCUGGCUUUGAGUUUUCCAUCUCCAUGAGCUCUCACAAUGCCAAACUGCAUUGUCUCAUGAAGAACCACUUGGAAUCCCCCUGAGGUCCAGAAAACACGUCUGACAUCAGCUGCCAGGCCCAUCUUGCGUUUGCAGUCCAAGGUCAGUCUACAGCAGAAGCAAGAAAAUUCCUAUUUAUCUCACAAUCUCCACCCUGAGUCCUGCUCUCCUAAGUGUCCCUUUCACAGGACUGUAUCUGACCUACUUUCAAGCCUGGGUUUCCCUCCUUGAUUAAGCUACUCUCGAUAUACCCUCCUACAUCUCCUAGGCAAUUCCAAGCCCCAUCAACUUGACAACCAAGAUUGACCAGCAAAGAUGGUAAAUUAUAUGCUGUGUUUAUUUUACCACUGUGCUAUUCUGUCUUGGUUUUGUACAUGGGAAAACCCUGUUUUCCUUAAUCUCAUGUUUUAUUCUUUUUGUAUGUGAGUACACUGUCACUGUCUUCAGGCACACCGAAAGAGGGCAUCAGAUCUCAUUACAGAUGGUUGUGAGCUACCCUGUGGUUGCUGGGAAUUGAACUCAGGACCUCUGGAAGAGCAGUCAGUGCUCUUAACUGCUGAGCCAUCUCUCCAGCCCCCUUCCUAUGCUUUAUAGCAGGUUUUCACAGAAAUGAUGCUUUUAGCAUAUGAAGUAACCUAAAGGGAGAGCAUACACUUGCUCCUUCUUGAAGUUUUACACUGCAGAUUUAUCAAGCUACUUGAUGAAAAAUCAGAAUCAAUAGUGUAUUUACUUACUUCAGGGGACAGAGGAUGUGAGAGCUUAAGAACAUAGGAGUCUUCUUUCCCCCUACUAAUUAAAUACUUUAUUGAGCAAGUACAAUAGCAACAAAAUGCAUUCAAAUUUUCUCUAAAGAAAAAAAAUCACUUUUAAAGGCCUUUCUAGUCAGGCUAAUGACAAACACAAUAAAGGCAGAUAUGCUAGUUUAACAUAAUUGGCUGAUUUCAUACAGCACUUAUAUCUUUUACUCCACAAGUAUAUCAUUAAAUGAUAGAGAACAUCUAAUACAUCUAAUACAACUAUUUCUACAUAACUAGCCAAUGGAUUUCUAAGAAAAAAAGAUUUUACAGACCCCCGUCUUUUAUACCCACCCCAAUGGUCUAACUCUAAAGAGGAUAGAGCCAAUGCCUUUCCUCACAAGAGCUCAGGACUAAAGUCACUUUGCUAUCAGAAUCUGUAUUUGUGAUCCGUUAUGAGCAUUGAGACAAGAUUCAAAUAUUCUCAAGGAAGCACAAGGCACAUUGUGAUCGCCUAUUCAGCAACAAUGAGCACUGCAUUCAAAACUAUCUCAUCCCAGGAAUUAAAUUAGGUCACCCACAUUCAUGGGCAUUUCCUCCACUGUAGUAUUGUAGAAAGUCUCAAUGUCACAAAGAAUCCUCUAGUCUUCUUCAGUAACAAAGUUUACUGAAGUCACAAAGUUACAAAGUCACACCUUUUCUCUUAAAUCGACCCCCUCUGCCAAUUCCACUGGCGCUUUAUUCAAACAGUGUGCUGUUUCCUCUUACGAUUCCACCUCCUAAAUUAUGUCAACGCCGUUUCUGAGUGCCAUCUCGUCAUCGACUGCCCCUAUCAACUCCUGUGAAUAUAGUUUUCAUGGUUGGUAGGUAGAUUGUAGUUUAUAACCAAGGAUACUUGUUGCAUGUCAAUCCUACAAGCCAACAAGCCAGCAGUGAUCAGAACAAGGCUUGACCCUGUUUGGAAGAACAGGGAAUCUUGCCAGAGCUACAUACUUUCUCUAAUUCCAUUUUGGACAAAAACCAUUAAGGUGCCUGUUAGAAAACUACCCAAAGCAAAGAAUGGUGAAUCCUAGUGUUCACCAUGGAAAACAAGCAUUUUGGAAUACUAGCAGGAAAGCUGGGGUCUAAGCUCUCAAUUUUAAAACUAUGUUCUGCUGAGAGAAUCAUUUUUUUAAUGAUAUUUUGCCUUGACUUAUUAAUCUAUAAACAUGGGUGAUUCGUUUUUAUACAGAAAAGCAGUAAGAGUAAUUACACCGUUAUUUCUGUAUAUCUUAAAAACUGGUUAAUUUCUUUUCUGGGGUUUCUGAGAGGUUCAUUGUAAAUACCAAUAAGUUGUUAUUUUUACUUUGGGUGGAAUAAAUAAUUUCUGGACAUUU
This is a long non-coding RNA of Mus musculus (house mouse), 2248 nucleotides long. RefSeq annotates it as predicted gene 4221. The record is from RefSeq and is marked validated. Lineage: Eukaryota; Metazoa; Chordata; Mammalia; Rodentia; Muridae. The transcript is spliced from 4 exons.